Molecule: ribosomal RNA, 483 nt
Filed under: uncultured bacterium
Lineage: Bacteria
Description: partial 16S ribosomal RNA
Rfam family: Bacterial small subunit ribosomal RNA
Source: RNAcentral
ACUCAAAGGAAUUGACGGGGACUCGCACAAGCGGUGGAUUAUGUGGCUUAAUUCGUCGGCAAACGAAGAACCUUACCAAGGUUAGAAAUGCAGCUGCAUCCAACCCGAAAGGGAUGGAGCCUUCGAGGGUGCUGCACAGGUGAUGCAUGGUUGUCGUCAGUUCGUGGUUUGAACUGUUCCCUUCAGUGGGGUAACGAACGCAACCCCCGUUGCCUGUUAUAUGUCAGGCGAGACUGCUCCCUCACGGGAGAGGAAGGUGGGGAUGACGCCAAAUCAGCAUGUCCCUCUGAUACCUUGGGCCGCACACAUAAUACAAUGGUAGAUAACAGAAGGAUGCAAUACCGCAAGGUGGAGCAAAUCCCCAAACUCUACCUCAGUACGGAUCGAGGUCUGCAAUCGACCUCGUGAAGCUGGAAUCGCUAGUAAUGGUGGGUCAGCCAAACCACCGUGAAUACGUUCUCGAGUCUUGUACACACCGCCCGU